This is a long non-coding RNA of Malurus melanocephalus (red-backed fairy wren), 3579 nucleotides long. RefSeq lists it as uncharacterized. Lineage: Eukaryota; Metazoa; Chordata; Aves; Passeriformes; Maluridae. The transcript has 6 exons. The record is from RefSeq and is a predicted model, not a curated record.
CUAAUUUUUGUAAGUAGGAUCAGCGCCCUGAAGCCAUCACUAUAUAAACUGCCACCUACUAAGGGCUGUUGCUUGCCUGGUCCUGCUUGAAGAGCAUUGCUGUGAAAUCUUUCUGAGAGCAGCAUCUCUUUGGCAUAGUUUUACACCAGCUGCCUGGCUCCAGUCUACACAGGACUCACGCCGAAGGGGAAAGGGGAGAGAACCUGAUCAUGUCAUGAAAGGCAGCUAGAAGAGUAUGGGAAAUACUCAGCUCUGGUUCUUGUCCUGAUUUCUCUCCAGCCUUUCCACUGCCAUUACAGCUCUGGUAUCCCAUAGCAAGUAAGAACAUAACAGUACAACUGUUCACACGUGGGAGAUGGAGGAACUGCAUCAAGAGCCCAUCAGAUAGGAAGGUGCUUUUUCUCCAGGAAGAGUCAAUGCAACAUCUUGCCUCAGAAGAAGCUUACGGGCCCUUCCUGGAUGCUGUUUUGUAAGAAGCACUGAUGAAUGCUUCCUGCUGUGAGAGGAGGACUCUCCCAUUAAAGAGGUGUUUUUCUCCUUCAGAGAUGGAAGUCUGUUUCAACAUGACACAACACAUUUGAUGGCACUGUCAYAUGAAGAAAAGCCUGAUACUUUACUGCACAGUCUGCUGACCUGAGUAACGCGAUCUGCUCAGAAGAAGUUGAGUGUGAAUUUAAGAAGCCGUUCAAGGGGUCAGGUGUUUGCCUAAUUUUCAGCAGCCUGAACGUGAAACAAAGGUGGGCCAGGUCUGCAGAGAUGUGGGGGUGACCUGGCUCUGCUCCUGCUCUGCCCCUGCUGUGCUCUGGCUCAUGGGAAGCUGUUCCAUGCAGGAGCCCGAGCGCUGCGCUGGUGUCACGGAUAAUGAGCCCCAUGGAGAGCAGAAUUGCACUGCGCUGCCUUAAUGUGGCAUUCUGGCUCCUGGAGCCGGCCAGCUUAGCCCAGGGAGGAGCUGCUGCCUCUUCUUGGGCAGUGUGGGAAGAUGCUCCCUUGGUAAAGCUUCCCCUGCUGUCAGCACCCGCUCUCCUUUUGCUAAGCCAUUUUACUGUAAUGAUGCCACCUCUCUCAAUGUCCUUCGUUGUUCUCCUGUCUGUCAUUCCCUGGGGGUCUGAUUAAAAUCGGUGGAAAGCUCUCUUGGAUUUUACUGGCUUUGGUACUUUGGCUCUGCUCCUUAAUGUGCCUUUCUCAUCUGUUUUUAACUGCUUUCUGUUAGGCUCACUUCUGCUGUGUUCUAAACAUUCCUCAUCUUUCCCCACUUUUGUAUUUUUGUACUUUUUUUCCUAUUCUUGACCUGCUCGACAACUGUUAAAUUACUUAGGCAGUGAGUAAAAUGAAGAUUAAAGAAAUGCUUUCAGCUUUGAGCUAAAAUGUGUUGACAGGACUCACAAGAGGCCUAGAGGACACAUGGGAGAGUAGCAUCAUUUUGGGGGAAGAAAAGCUAGAAAAAUGACUCUCAUCAGAUCUGAGGUUUCACCAUGAUUCUGUGGCAGCACUCCUGGCUGUCUUAAUGAGGUCAUGAAUCUGCUAGCAGUGUGUAGAAACAGUUUUAAUUGGUGAUAAUGUUAACACUUGUUUAACAAAAUUUAAGGUAGCUGGAAUAUGGUUUUAUCCGCACUAUACUGGUGUAAAUCAAAAGUAAUGUUAUUCAAACUUAUGUUCUUCUAGAAUAGCAGCACUUUAGCAGAAAUCAGAUUCUAAAGCACUCCUGAAUUUCAGAUAUUAUACUGUAUUUCCAUUUAUAACCUGACAUAAUUCCCACACAGCAUAUGGUAUUAAUCUGGUGUAAACACCAUGUUAUGAUGAUACUCAAACACAUACAGCUGACAUGAAAAUGUCUUCAAGUACAAUAUUUCCAAAAGUAAUUAUGUCUAUAUAGUUGGUAGUUAGCUCGUGUGAGAUUUUAUUUCUUAUUCAUACAUACAUGAAGGUUCGCAGAAUAAAACUUUAUAUAUAAAAAAGGAGAUAUUCUCACUCUUUGMAAAAAAGUAAGGAAAAAUCAAUAUAGUCUACUUAUUUUGGCCUGUCAGGCUUUCAUAAGGGAAUCUUACCUUUAUGUGAACACAGGAUUUUUGCASUUUUGGAAUUUUCUUUUGUUUGAUUUAGAGUAUAGACAUAUAGAUGAAUGCAAAGAAUACAGUGACACAAAGUGAAACUGAUGAUAUUUUGAUUAGAGAAAAUGAACUCCAAAAUAAAUAUUUAGGGAAAUUUUGCAAUUCUCAGCAAAGGUAAUACUCUUGAUGUGUGAAUGCCCCAGAAAUAAAUCUCUUCUGGUAAUCAAACAUUUUUCAAUGUUCUCUGAKGAAAGGGGUGGGACACCAGCAUCCCUUGUCCAGGUAGAUGCAUGUAUGAAACCCUUAAAAAAAUUGUCUGAGACUGGAGUUGAGCCAAUCAUUUUGUCCAAAGGAGAUCAAUAAAAACAUGUCUUUUGGAAAGUCAAUGCUUAUGGAUGGUAAUAUUUUUGCUUGAACACUUGCCAGCAGGGCCUGAUUCAUGGGUAGUGUAAAUGUUCUAGGGCCCUCUCACCUGUUUGAGAUGAAUUUAUUUAUUAGGAUGAAGUGUACCUUUUUCACAGAUUGCUUCUAACUCUACCUGCUACCUAGAGUUUCAAAAAUUUUAGCCUUUCAUAGCCCCUUUUAUUUCUACCUGACGAUCCUUUCUUAAAUACAUUCCUAAGACAAAGAAAAUAAGGCAACCUCAGUAUCACAUUUUCAAAACAAAAAGGAACUGCAAGAAACUGCUUAACAACCAGCUCUGCACUCGUUAGCUUCAGUAUAAAUCUGCAAUGACUUUAUUUUUAUUACUUCAUACUUGCACUACAGUGAAUAACAGUAGGUUAGGCUGUUGAUGGCAUUAUAAAAUGAGCAUUUCCAGCUCAUCYCUAUUAUCCACCACAAUAUCUUGGUUUUAAAAAAGAGACGGCUAAAAAAAAUUGCAACGGGACAAGAAUAAAUCUGGAAUAACUCCACUGAAAAUUUACACCAAGAAUUGAAUUUAGCCCACUUUGUUGAAUUCCUUUUAAUGGUUUCUGCAYGUUCAAGCAUCCACCAGAUAUUAGAUGGGAAGCAGCAGCCUCUCUGUUAUCUGCGAUCCAAGCAGGACACGCGGGGUGAAAGGGUAACGCAUUAUCGCUCUGCGCCACCUGGCCCAUCCAACACAAUUUGAACAACCAUAAUUGUAUUGAUUACUUCUUGUGCUCAUGACUAAUGACCUCUAGCUGCAACCUUGCAUUUUCUAAAUCUUUUAUAUUCUGAUUUAAUAAUAAGAUUUGAUUAGAAAUUGCCAUUAGCCAAUGCCAAUGAUUAGUCAGCAAGACUCAAUGCCGCCAAGUUCCAAUGAGUUUCAUUAUUCUGGAAUUAAAAAGCACAGAGAACUUCUCUGGGUUAAUAAUACAAUGAUUCUGUCUCAAUCAGGAAUGAAAGAAAACAGCUCUAAUAUACAAAUGCAGCAAAAUGUGUGGCUAUUACUAACAGCCACAUUUUACAGAGAAGUGUUUGAAGAAUUAAAGGGGCUUUGUCACAGAUGGUUGGGACAGUUUGCUUUUACUUUUUAUAUUUGAUUGGAAAGCCAGUGUCAGAUGGUGUG